RNAcentral lists this ribosomal RNA (572 nucleotides) under Dujonia santamariae. RNAcentral describes it as "eukaryotic LSU rRNA". It matches the Rfam family "Eukaryotic large subunit ribosomal RNA", at positions 45 to 633 of the family's 3401-position model. The record is from RNAcentral. Lineage: Eukaryota; Fungi; Ascomycota; Pichiomycetes; Serinales; Debaryomycetaceae.
AAUAAGCGGAGGAAAAGAAACCAACAGGGAUUGCCUUAGUAACGGCGAGUGAAGCGGCAAAAGCUCAAAUUUGAAAUCUAGCACUUUCAGUGUUCGAGUUGUAAUUUGAAGAAGGUAACUUUGGAGUUGGCUCUUGUCUAUGUUCCUUGGAACAGGACGUCACAGAGGGUGAGAAUCCCGUGCGAUGAGAUGUCCAACUCUAUGUAAAGUGCUUUCGAAGAGUCGAGUUGUUUGGGAAUGCAGCUCUAAGUGGGUGGUAAAUUCCAUCUAAAGCUAAAUAUUGGCGAGAGACCGAUAGCGAACAAGUACAGUGAUGGAAAGAUGAAAAGAACUUUGAAAAGAGAGUGAAAAAGUACGUGAAAUUGUUGAAAGGGAAGGGCUUGAGAUCAGACUUGGUAUUUUGCGUUCCCUUCCUUUUUGGUUGGGUUCCUCGCAGUUUACUGGGCCAGCAUCGGUUUGGGUGGUAGGAUAAUGACAUUGGAAUGUAGCUUUACUUCGGUGAAGUGUUAUAGACUUUGUUGAUACUACCUAUCUAGACCGAGGACUGCGUCUUUGACUAGGAUGCUGGCGUA